This 6836-nucleotide long non-coding RNA is filed under the name Lactuca sativa (garden lettuce). Its description in RNAcentral is "long non-coding RNA (LSAT_LNC003233)". The record is from RNAcentral. Lineage: Eukaryota; Viridiplantae; Streptophyta; Magnoliopsida; Asterales; Asteraceae.
GAAAUACGGAAAUAUGGCAAAUUGAAAUUUGGAAAAUGGAAUAUUGAUAGAUAUCUUAUUAUGGUAUGAUUAUCAAUCGUAUCCCUUGCAUUUAAUUUUGAGGAUUAUGUCGAUUUGAUCGUAUUAUGCUCAAUAUAUACUUGAUUCAUACAAUAUGAAUCAUUCUUUAUAGCAUCGUCUUCCAACAAUCAAGCAUCAUCGACAAUCAACGACUUUAAUUCUUCGGUAAAUUUCUGCUUCUCAGUUCUGCUUCUCAAUGUCUGUGUUAAUCAUAAUUGAAAAUUAUUUUUGUUACUUAAUGUGUAUGCGUGUGUGUGACAAUUUAACUGAUACCUUAUUCGUAUUUCACUAUGAGAUACCGUCAUAAAUAAGAACGAUCAAAAGAACAAUUAAAAACUUAUUUAACAAUCAUAAUUCGUCUUAAUAUGGUUCUGUAUAGGUUUAAUUUGCGCAUUAGAUAACAAAAAUUGAUUUUUCAAGUCAACUAUAUACAAUUUUCAUUCAUUUUAUGUUAGUAGUUUUAUGAUUUCAUCUUAAAUUCUAUAAUCAUCUAACAUCUCUGUAUCUAAUAAACAUCACUAUUUUGCAAAUGUAAAUUACCGAUUUUACCCCUUCUUUGUUUCACUAAGGCUGUCAAAUUCUCUGUAAUCUUCAUUUUCUAAACCUGAUAUGCUUGAUAUCAGAGACUCUAGGAGAAGCAGUAUACUGAAAUUGAUUUUUCAAGUCUACCUUAUUCACUCGUAUUGGCUUCCCAUACAGCUUAAUCGUGUUUAUAACUUUUAUUGCCUGCAAAUUUUAACAUCUUUAGAUAUUAAUUCCAAUUGUUAAGCAAUCUUUGUAAUUAUUAUGACUCUUAAUCAUUAACAACUAGAUUGACAGAAGAAUUACAGCAACAAACACUACUUACAUAAUCAGCAUCUUCUUCACUUCUGAACACUACAAAGCCAUAGCCUUGGUGGAGAUUAGUUACUCUAUCUUUAGGAACAUACACGUUAACUGAAGAAUAAGAAGAAAAAAUAUAAAUACAAAUUCAAGAUUAACCUUUGUAUGAUUUGUUUAAGCACUAAUUAAACCACACAAAAAAAAUGCAAAAGCAGAAGGAAACAAAAAUGUUUUUAGACACUACAUUACAAAAAAAAAGGGUAUAUGCAAAUGACGAAAAUGCCCUCACCAAACUUAUAGAAGAUAACUUUACAAAGCUUGUGUCGUAUCAUGUGGUUCCAUGGGAUAUGUGUGUCUAUUGAUGGUUUAAGAGAAAAAACAAUUAUGUUUUUAAAGAGUUUUAUUACCAAUAUAUGUUUUUAAUGUCUGUGUUGUUUUUUUCCAAUCAGUUUCUGCUUCUCAAUGUGUAUGCGUGUGUUAAUCAUAAUCAAAUUUUGUUUCUUCUUCUUAAUGUGUAUGCGUGUUUGUGACUGCUUUUUUUUGUAUAAUAUUUUAAGUUUUAUAUAUAUGUUAUCAUGAGGUUUGUGAUACAAUAUUUUACACAAUGAGCAAAACUGUCUUCAUGUGAGUUAUCAUUAAAUAGACUCUUCAUCAGUUGAAGUAUAUUGGUAAAUGAUAUGUUUAACUUGAUUGUCAUCUUCCAUUAUACAUGCGGUAGCAUCACAUGGCCUAAUAAUAAUGUGGUGUUGUGCUAAUGAAAAAGACAAUAGAAAAAUGACUGAAAGAAUAUGAUGAAAACCACAAUAAUGAAAGAAAUGUGAAAAUCACAAGUCAUGAUUGAUACAGAAUAAUUUGACGUGGUCCUUCUCUAACUCCUCCAGCUAGCUGUUAAGUUGCUUAUGUACAAUGCUCUUGAACUCAUUGAUAAGUCAUGUCAUACAUUCAUUGACUUGCUUUACAACAGGUGGAUACCUAACUAAUUGGGAGAUGUAUGCAUUUAUAGAUCAAUGGUUUUAGAUGAUUGAUUUGUGGGUGGUGAUAAAUCCCAUCUUACAUGCAAGUGUCUAUAUGGUGUGUUACAAUAUCUAUCUCAUAUGAUCUUUGUUCAUGAAACUAAUGUUUGGGAUUUGUUCUAGAAACAUCAAGAAAGUAGGUGUUUGUUCUCCGAAUUCUGUCAGAUUUGGCAGGAAUUAGAAAUAAAUUCAAUUAUGAAUGAUGUACAAGGGUAUAUAGUUUCUGUUAGCCUGUUGUUUCACUUAUCAUUAUUAUUUUUAAUUAUAAAUGAUGUACAGGGGUAUAUAGUUUAUGUUAGCAUGUUUCUUUCAGUUUUUGUUUUCUUUGUAUGAAUGUUUGAAUAUAACCAUAUUGCAUUAUUGAGUUUGUUCUUAUAUUAUUAGUACUCCAUAGACAUAAUGGUAAUUUUAUUUCUGUUUAUAAUUUUUGUGUGUACUUUUUUGUUAUAGUGACAAUGGCAGAUAGAAACAUCACUUUGAUUAAAUACUUGGACAACAUGAAGGAUGAUUACACACUAAAAGUGUCUAUCAUCCGGCUGUGGAGAUCACUUUCAGAUGGCAACCCCACUAUUGUCAAAUCAAUUGAGAUGAUACUCAUGGAUGAAAUGGUAAAAUCUACUAUUAUAAUAGCAUUAUUCAAAAUCAUUUUUUUGUUUAUUAGGGAGAUUCCAAUAAUAUUAUUCAAAAUCAUCCCCCCUAACAGUAUCCUUUCCAGCAAUGCUUAACUUUAUCUGAAAUAAUAAACAUUAUGCAUAUAGAAACAAUGUAAAAUAUCAGAGACUCUAGGAGAAGCAGUAUAUUGAAUUUUUUUUUGUUGUCUUCGAGUAAAUCUUAAAUGAAAACUUAUACAAUUUUAACCGGUAACACAAUAUUUAGCUUAAAUUCUUAUACAAUUCAAAUAUACAUACACAUAUGCAAAAGACUAAUAUGCCCUCGCCAACUCAUUCCAUGUGAUGUGUUAGGCUUUUUGAUACACACAUACCACUAUGACAUGUAUUAUGAUUCGAAAGAUCUUAAAAUAAAUCACAUUUAAGCAAAUUAUGCAGAUAAUCCGUAUUUUACAAAUAUAAAAUACCAUAUUUUACCAUUUAUUUGUUUCCCUUAGAAAUCAAUAUUGAAUAUGGAAAUUUUAAAUUUAAUAAUGAGUCCAAUAUGGAAUCCAUAUAACGUCCUUUUUUGGUUUCACAAAAUUAAUCUGCUACCAGCGGUACACAUUAACCAAAGUUAUCUAAUUACCCGAUUAAGAGCACCUUUUUAUGGUAUCCUUAUCAAUCAUAUCAAUACAUUUAAUUCUUAUUAUUAUGUCGAUUUAAUCAUAUUUUUGUCUGUAUAUAUUUGAAACAUAUGAUAAUCAGUAUUUCUUUACAGCAUUAUGUGGUUAUUGUGGAUCUGAAUAAUCUCACGUAAGUUGAAUUUCGAAUAUUCAAUUACAUAAUUCAAUCCCCAGGACACUCUCUGCAUCUCAAUUCUGCUUCUUAAUUUCGGAUAUUCAAUUACCGACUUCAAUCCUUCGGUAAGUUUCUCAUGAUUAUAUAUGAUUGCUUCUCAAUGUUUUUGUUAAUCGUAUAAUUGAAAAUUCUUUUCUUCUUCUGAAUUCUGCGACUUAAAUUCUGCUUCUCAUUGUUUUUGUUACUCUCAACAUCUGGUUGUUACUACCUACUGCUAAAGAUUGGCCAUUAGGAACGAUGAAAUACUUUUUACACCCGGUCCACUUUCAUAGGCUUGAUGUUUUGAUAGACGUUUUUCAUGUAAAGAUUGUAUCAAAACCUACAUGACUAAAAGAUGGAUGAACAUAUUAAGUGACAUGGAAUUAAAGGUUAACACUAAGUAAAUAGUAGAAGGGUAAUGCAAAAAAGAGAAUUUCGUAUUUAGUAAUAUUAACAACUAAAAAUGGUUCUGUUUAAGCGUACAUCAUAUCUUAUUUCCCUUUAAUUAAUAUGUUUUUGGUGUAAACCGGUUCAAAUCAAUGACAAAUAUGUAAUUCUGUCAAACAUGACAGAAAUGCCCCUUAAGAAAAAAUAGUACCUACCAGUCAAGUAAUACAAAAUACAAUCAACUAAUAAUAAAGAAGAAAAAAUAUAACAAAAAAACAGAAACAAAAAUGUAUUUCUAUAAAACGUGACAGAAAUGCCCACGAACUAAAAAAACAGAAAUAUAAAUUUUUAUUUCUAUUCGUAUUGGUUUUGAUUGUACUUUUAGCUUUCUUUGUGUAAUCCCUCAAUGAAUCUGAAAUACAAACAAAAUAAAGGCAAAAUAAAUUAUGAAAAUGUACAAGUUUGUAGUAUAUUACAGUACAAGGGCUUUUGUGUCAUGUUUUACACAAAUUUUGAAAAAGUUUUUCAGAGAUGGGUUGAUGAAGAAACAUGAGACGAACCAAUUUUUUUUUACUUGGUGAUUCGUCAACUAAUGACAGUAAAAAAAUUGUAUUUCUGUAAAAAAGAAAAAAAAAAUUAUUUAUGUAAAAAUUGUUUCUCUAGUCCAUAUAAAAUAUAACAUUUUCAUUUAUACCACAGUUUCAACCCAUAAAUUACCAUUAUACCCUUCAGCAAUAGUACCUUAUUUCAAAAUAGUACCUACCAGUCAAGUAAUACAAAAUACAAUCAACUAAUAAUAAAGAAGAAAAAAUAUAACAAAAAACAGAAACAAAAAUGUAUUUCUAUAAAAUGUGACAGAAAUGCCCCCGAACUCAGAAAACAGAAAUAUAAAUUUUUAUUUCUAUUCGUAUUGGUUUUGAUUGUACUUUUAGCUUUCUUUGUGUAAUCCCUCAAUGAAUCUAAAAUAUAAACAAAAUAAAGGCAAAAUAAAUUUUGAAAAUGUACAGGUUUGUAGUAUAUUACAGUACAAAGGCUUUUCUGUCAUGUUUUACAUAAAUUUUGAAAAAGUUUGUAAUAGAAAUUAAAUUAAUUUGAAAUUUGAAUGUAAUUUGUUAUUAGUGGCAAGUGAUUACAGGUUUUAAUAGGAAUAAUACCCUUUUUACCCCUUAAUUUAUAUUUGAUCAUGUUAUACGAUUUAUUAAUUGUAAAGGCCAAAUUUGUAUUUGUGGUUCUAUCUUUAUGUGCCUAUAUUUGUAUGUGAAUCAAUCUUUGUACUUCCAUCAAUAACUCAAUUUUUUUUUUCUGCAUUUUUUAACUAUGUUUGUAUACUCCAAUUGUGGUUCUAUAUUAGUAAAAUACCGUAUUUACCCUUGUGCAUAUCUGUUUAUGUGUCUGUAUUUCACUCUAUCUUUAUGUUUGUUUUACAUUUUUAAACUAUGAAAUAUACUCCAAUUUCGAUUUUUUUCAUUCUUUAACUAUGAAGUAUAUCAAAUUGGACUAAUUUACCCCUACCCCUGCCUGGAUUUUUAUUAAUUUACGGUUUAUUUUGUGUAAGCCCUUGCUUCUCAAUGUCCUUUGUUGUUGUUGCUUCUCAAUGUCCUUUGACCAUUCUUUGUAUCUGGGAAUCCACAUUUUUAACAAUGACCUAAACAGAAAACAUAGAACUAAAAUAAGAACAGCAAAAAACGACUGCAAAAAAAAUCAUAAGAAAUUACAACAAAAAGUUGCACUAAAAUAACAAGUUAAAAAUUUAGACAUCAGGACUUUGAAAAUUGUAAAAACUAAUUGGUAUGCACGCAACUAAAGCUGAAUUUUAACUCAGUUUAUUGCUCUAAUAUCUCUAACUGCUAGACUUAUAACAAAAUACAAACUUGUCUCUUAAGCAUAAUGGUGCAUCUCAUGAUAAAAAGCCAUUAAUGAUCCUUAUGAAACAAUUGGAGAUUUGAAAUCAUGAAACCAUCGUCUUUUUUUUUUCAAUCUCAUUUCACACUUUCAAAGGUUCAAAAAACUAAAUAAGAAACAGCUUCAAUUACCAGUGAAUCGGAGGUAAUCAGUAGCCUUUUGUACUUUGCUAAAAUUUCAUUAGAAAAGCCCAAAUCUGACUUUGUGGUUCUAUAAUAGCAUUUCUGUACAAUCAAUAGAAGCGUUUCAUUUUGAAUUUCGAUUUUUUGUAUUUUUUAACUAUUAAAUAUACUCCAAUUGUUUUGAAUUUCGAUUUUCUGCAUUUUUUUAACUAUGUUUGUAUACUAUAAUUGUGGUUCUAUAUUGGUAAAAUAUCGUAUUUAACCUUGGGCAUAUCUGCGUAUGUGUCUAUAUGUCACCAUAUCUAUAUGUUUGUUUUACAUUUUUAAACUAUGAAAUAUACUCCAAUUUUGAUUUUUUGCAUUCUUUAAGUAUGGAGUAAAUCAAAUUGGACUAAUAUACCCCUACCCCUGCCUGGAUUUUUAUUAAUUUAAGGUUUAUUUUGUGUAAGCCCCUGCUUCUCAAUGUCGUUUGUUGCUGUUGUUAUUUAUCUUUAUAUUAGUAAAAUACCAUUAUUACCCUUUAUGUCUAUUUUAUUAGAGGAUAUGGUUUUUUAAUUGUAAAGGCCGAAUUUUUCUUUGUGGUUCUAUAUUAGCAUUUUUUUAACUAUUAAAUAUACUCCAAUUGUAUUGAUUUUCAAUUUUCUGAAUUUUUUAACUAUGUUUGUAUACUCCAAAUUUGUAGUUUUUUUAUUUAUUAUAGUACAAUCUUAAUGCUUGUAGUUUCUUUAUUUAUUAUAGUACAAUCUUAAUGUUUGUGUUGCAUUGAUUCAGUUUGUGAUUGAAGUGUUAUAUAAUAAUCCAAGGACAUAAUGGUAAUAUUCACUCAACAAAAAUUACCAUUAAUAUAUUUUCUCUUAUUUUUCUUAUAUUUCAGAUAUUAACAAUUAACAUGGAUGUUUAUAAGACUAAUAAGAAGAUAAAAUUCAAUAAUUUCUAUCUUGAUAAUAAAAACAUAUACCGAUGUACACUACAUCAGUCGAUCAAAUUCUAUGUUCUACAAAUGUUAGUAACCCGGGAUCUAACGGUACGUUCAAUAAAUUUGUUAUUGUUUUCUUUAUAAAUUUUUUAAAUCUCAAUUAGCACUAUUUUAUGUCUCUCUCUCU